This 467-nucleotide ribosomal RNA is filed under the name uncultured bacterium. RNAcentral describes it as "partial 16S ribosomal RNA". It matches the Rfam family "Bacterial small subunit ribosomal RNA", at positions 28 to 507 of the family's 1533-position model. The record is from RNAcentral.
GACGAACGCUGGCGGCGUGCUUAACACAUGCAAGUCGAACGGAAAGGCCUCUUUCGGGGGGUACUCGAGUGGCGAACGGGUGAGUAACACGGGAGUAACCUGCCCUUGACUUUGGGAUAACUUCAGGAAACUGGGGCUAAUACCGGAUAGGAGCUCCUGCUGCAUGGUGGGGGUUGGAAAGUUUCGGCGGUUGGGGAUGGACUGGCGGCUUAUCAGCUUGUUGGUGGGGGAGUGGCUUACCAAGGCUUUGACGGGUAGCCGGCCUGCGAGGGUGAGCGGCGACAUUGGGACUGAGAUGCGGCCCAGACUCCGACGGGAGGCAGCAGUGGGGAAUAUUGAACAAUGGGUGGAAGCCUGAUGCAGCAACGCCGUGUGCGGGAUGACGGCCUUCGUGUUGUAGACCGCUUUCGCUCAUGACGAAGCUUUGUGUGACGGUAGUGGGUGAAGAAGCACCGGCUAACUACGUG